AUGGUUCUGAUAGAUACCAGGAAUAUGCUACAAUCAAUGGGAAAGGACAUAGAGUCAUUCCCUCUUCCUGGUAUCAAUGAAGAAUAUGACAUUGCUUCCGGCAUACCAAGGGAGAUCUUCAAGCAAUCCACCAUUCUCAAUGCUGAGGACACAAAUCUAUCAGACUCACUUAAUUCAGAUCAGAGGAAAGCCUAUGAUGAAAUUAUGUAUGUUGUUGACAGUGAUGAGGGUGGCGUAUUCUUUAUAAAUGGGCCUGGAGGCACCGGGAAGACUUAUCUAUAUAGGGCACUUCUUGCAAAAGUCCGUGGUCAGAAAGAGAUUGCAGUAGCAACAACUACGUCCGACAUUGUAGGUACCAUAAUGCCCGGAGGGAAAACAUCUCAUUCACGGUUCAAUAUACCACUAAGCAUUGACGAUGGUGGGUUUUGUAGCUUCACUAAAUAG
This 444-nucleotide ribosomal RNA is filed under the name Triticum aestivum (bread wheat). RNAcentral's name for it is "partial small subunit ribosomal RNA". The record is from RNAcentral. Lineage: Eukaryota; Viridiplantae; Streptophyta; Magnoliopsida; Poales; Poaceae.